Molecule: long non-coding RNA, 454 nt
Organism: Melospiza georgiana
Lineage: Eukaryota; Metazoa; Chordata; Aves; Passeriformes; Passerellidae
Exons: 4
Source: RefSeq, a predicted model, not a curated record
UAGCCGAGUGUAACCGGUACCGAGUGUAGCCGACAUUGGCCGCAUUUAGGCAAAGAGCCGAAUAUGACCGACUUUAGCCCAACCGGGCCGAAGUUCUGCCGAAGAGCCGGAAAAGCCGAAUUUAGACGAAAAGCCGAACCGAAACGAUUUUAGACCUAAGCCGAACCAAGCCUAAUUUAGCCGAGUUUAUUUAAACAGAACCGAACGACGCCGCAGCGCUCUGCCUGCACAGCGCCGGUGCAGACGGCAGGGGGCGGUGUAUAAAGGUGCUCAGAAAGCAUGCGUCCCUUAGAGUUCCACGGAAAGGUUCUCAGUGCGCUCUCUAUCAAGUGCUAUGAGUCUUGAUAAAUUGGAGAAGAGCCCAAGAGAAAUUUUUCAUCCCUUGAUAUAAAAGGAUUUAUUGGUUCUGGAAGAACAAGAGGGAAGUACAAGCCUAACUUCUUCUAGCUCACAG